GGGGCUGUGGCUCAGUAGUAGAGCACUUGACUCACAUGCAUGAGGCAUUGGGUUCAAUCCUCAGCACCACCU
This 72-nucleotide transfer RNA is filed under the name Ictidomys tridecemlineatus (thirteen-lined ground squirrel). RNAcentral's name for it is "Spermophilus tridecemlineatus (thirteen-lined ground squirrel) tRNA". It matches the Rfam family "tRNA". From Rfam's summary of the family: Transfer RNA (tRNA) molecules are approximately 80 nucleotides in length. Their secondary structure includes four short double-helical elements and three loops (D, anti-codon, and T loops). The record is from Rfam by way of RNAcentral. Lineage: Eukaryota; Metazoa; Chordata; Mammalia; Rodentia; Sciuridae.